This 426-nucleotide ribosomal RNA is filed under the name uncultured bacterium. RNAcentral describes it as "partial 16S ribosomal RNA". It matches the Rfam family "Bacterial small subunit ribosomal RNA", at positions 338 to 795 of the family's 1533-position model. The record is from RNAcentral.
CCUACGUGUAGCUGCAGUAACGAAUCUUCCGCAAUGCACGAAAGUGUGACGGAGCGACGCCGCGUGUAGAUGAAGUCCUUCGGGAUGUAAACUACUGUCAGGGGUAAGUCACCCCAGAGGAAGGGACGGCUAACUCUGUGCCAGCAGCCGCGGUAAUACAGAGGUCCCGAGCGUUAGGCGGAAUCACUGGGCUUAAAGCGUGUGUAGGCGGAUCGGUAAGUACCUUGUGAAAUCCCAUGGCUUAACCAUGGAACUGCUUGGUAUACUGCCAGUCUUGAGCCAGCUAGGGGCUACCGGAACAAAUGGUGGAGCGGUGAAAUGCGUAGAUAUCAUUUGGAACGCCAAUGGAGAAAUCAGGUAGCUGGGCGUGCUGACGCUGAGACACGAAAGCCAGGGGAGCGAACGGGAUUAGAUACCCCUGUAGUC